This 467-nucleotide ribosomal RNA is filed under the name uncultured Thauera sp. RNAcentral describes it as "bacterial SSU rRNA". It matches the Rfam family "Bacterial small subunit ribosomal RNA", at positions 917 to 1381 of the family's 1533-position model. The record is from RNAcentral. Lineage: Bacteria; Pseudomonadati; Pseudomonadota; Betaproteobacteria; Rhodocyclales; Zoogloeaceae.
GACGGGACCGCACAAGCGGUGGAUGAUGUGGAUUAAUUCGAUGCAACGCGAAAACCUUACCUACCCUUGACAUGUCUGGAACCUUGGUGAGAGCCGAGGGUGCCUUCGGGAGCCAGAACACAGGUGCUGCAUGGCUGUCGUCAGCUCGUGUCGUGAGAUGUUGGGUUAAGUCCCGCAACGAGCGCAACCCUUGUCACUAGUUGCCAUCAUUUGGUUGGGCACUCUAGUGAGACUGCCGGUGACAAACCGGAGGAAGGUGGGGAUGACGUCAAGUCCUCAUGGCCCUUAUGGGUAGGGCUCCACACGUCAUACAAUGGUCGGUACAGAGGGUUGCCAAGCCGCGAGGUGGAGCCAAUCCCUUAAAGCCGAUCGUAGUCCGGAUCGUAGUCUGCAACUCGACUACGUGAAGUCGGAAUCGCUAGUAAUCGCGGAUCAGCAUGCCCGCGGUCCGAAUACGUUCCGGCCUU